GUGAAUCAUCGAAUUUUUGAACGCAAAUUGCACUCUCUGGCAUUCCUAAGAGUAUGCCUGUUUGAGCGUCAGUAAAAAUAAAAAUCUUGGUGUUGCGUUGUGGUGACCGACCGAAAUUGGGUUAUCUUUGACCUUUUAAAAAGUUUAAGUCUCAUAAUAUUGAUUUCUUUUGCAUGUCAGACGG
RNAcentral lists this unclassified non-coding RNA (184 nucleotides) under Glomeromycota sp. RNAcentral's name for it is "partial contains 5.8S ribosomal RNA and internal transcribed spacer 2". The stretch from base 1 to 71 matches the Rfam family "5.8S ribosomal RNA", at positions 84 to 154 of the family's 154-position model. The record is from RNAcentral. Lineage: Eukaryota; Fungi; Glomeromycota.